AACGCACAUUGCGCCUUUUGGUAUUCCGAAAGGUAUACUUGUUCGAGCGCCGUUUCAUACCUCAAGCUUCUGCUUGGUGUUCACUGCUGUCAUCAGACACAGUGUAAACUCUUUGGCAGCCCCUAACAGUCCCAGCGUGACAGAAUCUCGUUGUAUACUGUGAAGAGCGUUAGCCAGUCUAUCUCGAAACGAUGGCCUCGGAUCAAGUAGGGUUACCCGCUGAACUUAA
This 229-nucleotide unclassified non-coding RNA is filed under the name uncultured fungus. Its description in RNAcentral is "sequence contains ITS2". The record is from RNAcentral. Lineage: Eukaryota; Fungi.